This 884-nucleotide ribosomal RNA is filed under the name uncultured organism. RNAcentral describes it as "partial small subunit ribosomal RNA". The record is from RNAcentral.
AACUAACCAGNGGAUAAUACAAUUAUCCUGUGUUAAUUGACCCGGCACUAGAUCGAUCUCUCCGAGCUCUCAAGACGGAUUUUAAUANGUCUCGCUACCAGGACUGAAGUCCGCGCCUUUCAACGCAUUUAGGCUGAUNUCUGUGCUCGAAGAGUUAUACAUAGCCGUACACUCUACAGGCCUGCAUAGCAAUCCUCUGUAGACNUUGCGCUCCUGCAGGCACGGCAUCGCAAUCGAAGCUCCACUACNCUGUUCGCACCAUGNAGUUACCAAACGGGGCCCCGAGUNAUCCUCCNGUGACUGUGGGAGACGGCCCAGNGCGAGAUUGUGUCGAGCACACUCAUUGUGAGNAUCUANANAUGAGAGGCCGCGACACAGUCCCCGUGUGACUCCCNAUGUUCUACAGUGCCCCCGGAGCGUAUAGUAUGUCUCGANAUAGACANAGGGGCCCNUUAUAGCGGUCGCUCUGUCUCAGANUAGCUAUCCCUCUGUCUAGCGCCAAUUGGCGNUAAGUGCCAACUAGAGAAUGGAAUCAAAGGGUCACNCCGGUAGGGGCAUUUUAUAUUUACAUUGCCCNUCCCCAGGUUGGACCUUUAGAAUCUUACUCUGAAUUGCGACCUAACGUCCAGGGGCGCCUGAACAGAGGAAUGAAAAGUUCAAUCUGUGAAACAGAAGGGCCACGCCCCUAAAAGGGCGGGCUCCUUGGUUCUACCUGCGAGAACAUUUCUAACNCGUUCCGGGGGGCCCAUGUNUUGAGGACAUUGCCCCGACCUAACCAAGGUGACCGUUGGUCUGCGGGCCCCCACUUAUUUCUAGGAUGGCUCCCAAAUGUUAAGUGUUUCGCCACAACAAAGGCCUCGGCCGUUGGGGCGGCCCUUUCCCAC